GGGGAUGUGGCUCAAGUGGUAGUGCGCUCCCCUGGCAUGGGCGGGGUUCUGGGUUCAAUCCUCAGCACCACA
Molecule: transfer RNA, 72 nt
Filed under: Marmota monax (woodchuck)
Lineage: Eukaryota; Metazoa; Chordata; Mammalia; Rodentia; Sciuridae
Description: tRNA.Ala
Source: RNAcentral